This 423-nucleotide ribosomal RNA is filed under the name uncultured bacterium. RNAcentral's name for it is "bacterial SSU rRNA". It matches the Rfam family "Bacterial small subunit ribosomal RNA", at positions 355 to 792 of the family's 1533-position model. The record is from RNAcentral.
UGGGGAAUAUUGGGCAAUGGGGCGAAAGCCUGACCCAGCAACGCCGCGUGGAGGAAGAAGGUUUUCGGAUCGUAAACUCCUGUCCUCAGGGAAGAGAAGGAGACGGUACCUGAGGAGGAAGCCCCGGCUAACUACGUGCCAGCAGCCGCGGUAAUACGUAGGGGGCAAGCGUUGUCCGGAAUGAUUGGGCGUAAAGGGCGCGUAGGCGGCUCGGUAAGUCUGGAGUGAAAGUCCUGGCUUCAAGUUGGGAAUUGCUUUGGAUACUGUCGGGCUUGAGUGCAGGAGAGGUUAGUGGAAUUCCCAGUGUAGCGGUGGAAUGCGUAGAUAUCUGGAAGAACACCAAAGGCGAAGGCAGUCUCCUGGGCAAAUACUGACGCUCAUAUGCGAAAGCGUGGGUAGCAAACAGGAUUAGAUACCCUGGUA